GAUGAACGCUGGCGGCGUGCCUAAUACAUGCCAGUCGAGCGAACGGACGAGAAGCUUGCUUUUCUGAUGUUAGCGGCGGACGGGUGAGUAACACGUGGAUAACCUACCUAUAAGACUGGUAUAACUUCGGGAAACCGGAGCUAAUACCGGAUAAUAUUUUGAACCGCAUGGUUCAAAAGUGAAAUACGGUCUUGCUGUCACUUAUAGAUGGAUCCGCGCUGCAUUAGCUAGUUGGUAAGGUAACGGCUUACCAAGGCAACGAUGCAUAGCCGACGUGUGAGGCGGGUCGCCGACCCGGGAGCUGGACCGCGGUCAUGGGUCCUACGGGAGGGAGCAGUAGGCAAUCGUACGCAAUGGGCGGAAGCCUGACGGAGCAACGGCGCGUGAGAGAUGGAGGUCUCCGGAUCGUAAAACUCUGUUAUGAGGGAAAAACAGAUGUGUAAGUAAAUGUGGACAGAUUGACGGUAACGAAUCAGAAAGCCACGGCUAACUACGUG
RNAcentral lists this ribosomal RNA (497 nucleotides) under uncultured bacterium. RNAcentral describes it as "partial 16S ribosomal RNA". It matches the Rfam family "Bacterial small subunit ribosomal RNA", at positions 28 to 507 of the family's 1533-position model. The record is from RNAcentral.